This 115-nucleotide ribosomal RNA is filed under the name Cordylochernes scorpioides. Lineage: Eukaryota; Metazoa; Arthropoda; Arachnida; Pseudoscorpiones; Chernetidae. The record is from RNAcentral.
ACGGCCAUACCACAUUGAAAACACCGGUUCUCGUUCGAUCACCGAAGUUAAGCAAUGUCGGGCCCGGUCAGUACUUGGGAGGGUGACCACCUGAGAACACCGGGUGCUGUAGGCU